RNAcentral lists this ribosomal RNA (496 nucleotides) under uncultured bacterium. RNAcentral's name for it is "partial 16S ribosomal RNA". It matches the Rfam family "Bacterial small subunit ribosomal RNA", at positions 28 to 506 of the family's 1533-position model. The record is from RNAcentral.
GAUGAACGCUGGCGGCGUGCCUAAUACAUGCAAGUCGAGCGAACGGACGAGAAGCUUGCUUCUCUGAUGUUAGCGGCGGACGGGUGAGUAACACAUGGAUAACCUACCUAUAAGACUGGGAUAACUUCGGGAAACCGGAGCUAAUACCGGAUAAUAUUUUGAACCGCAUGGUUCAAAAGUGAAAGACGGUCUUGCUGUCACUUAUAGAUGGAUCCGCGCUGCAUUAGCUAGUUGGUAAGGUAACGGCUUACCAAGGCAACGAUGCAUAGCCGACCUGAGAGGGUGAUCGGCCACACUGGAACUGAGACACGGUCCAGACUCCUACGGGAGGCAGCAGUAGGGAAUCUUCCGCAAUGGGCGAAAGCCUGACGGAGCAACGCCGCGUGAGUGAUGAAGGUCUUCGGAUCGUAAAACUCUGUUAUUAGGGAAGAACAUAUGUGUAAGUAACUGUGCACAUCUUGACGGUACCUAAGCAGAAAGCCACGGCUAACUACGC